GGUCAAGUUAUUAAGGGUGCAGGGCGGAUGCCUUGGCACUAGGAGCCGAUGAAGGACGUGAUAAGCUGCGAUAAGCUUCGGGGAGUUGCACGUAAACUUUGAUCCGAAGAUUUCCGAAUGAGGAAACUCACUUAGAGUAAUGUCUAAGUAUCAUUAAGUGAAUACAUAGCUUAAUGAGGGGAACUCAGGGAACUGAAACAUCUAAGUACCUGAAGGAAGAGAAAGAAAUUCGAUUCCGUAAGUAGCGGCGAGCGAACGCGGAUUAGCCCAAACCAAUAAAGUUUUCUUUAUUGGGGUUGCGGACAUAUCAUAACGAAGAGGUAUCGUAAUUGAAGAGGUUUGGAAAGACCCACCACAGAAGGUAAUAGUCCUGUAUGUUAAACGAGAAGACUUCAGAUAUGAUCCAGAGUACCACGGGACACGUGAAACCCUGUGGGAAGCAGGAGGGACCACCCUCCAAGGCUAAAUACUACCUAGUGACCGAUAGCGUAUAGUACCGUGAGGGAAAGGUGAAAAGAACCCCGGGAGGGGAGUGAAAUAGAACCUGAAACCCUGCACUUACAAGCUGUGGAAGCACAUUUCUUGUGUGACCGCGUACUUUUUGUAGAACGGGCCAACGAGUUACGUUAAGUAGCAAGGUUAAGCACUUAAGGUGCGGAGCCGUAGCGAAAGCGAGUUUUAACUGAGCGUUCAGUUACUUGACGUAGACCCGAAACCGGGCGACCUACCCAUGAGCAGGAUGAAGCGAAAGUAAAAUUUCGUGGAGGUCCGAACCCACGAGCGUUGAAAAGCUCGGGGAUGACUUGUGGGUAGCGGUGAAAUUCCAAUCGAGCCCGGAGAUAGCUGGUUCUCCCCGAAAUAGCUUUAGGGCUAGCCUCAAGGUGAGAGAUACGGAGGUAGAGCACUGAAUGUCCUAGGGGGUAUUGCACCUACCGAAGACUAUCAAACUCCGAAUGCCGUCAUCUUAUACUUGGGAGUCAGACUGUGGGUGAUAAGAUUCAUAGUCGAAAGGGCAACAGCCCAGAUCGUCAGCUAAGGUCCCUAAAUGUAAGUUAAGUGGUAAAGGAUGUGGGAUUGCACAGACAACCAGGAUGUUGGCUUAGAAGCAGCCACUCAUUCAAAGAGUGCGUAAUAGCUCACUGGUCGAGUGAUCCUGCGCCGAAGAUUUCCGGGGCUAAAACUUACUACCGAAGCUACGGCAUCAGUAAUGAUGGGUAGGGGAGCUUCCCAUACGGGUUGAAGCAUGACCGUAAGGACAUGUGGACAGUAUGGGAGUGAGAAUGUUGGCAUGAGUAGCGAGAUGUGGGUGAGAAUCCCACAGGCCGUAAACCCAAGGUUUCCAGGGGAAGGUUCGUCCGCCCUGGGUUAGUCGGGACCUAAGCUGAGGCCGAAAGGCGUAGGUGAUGGACAACAGGUUGAUAUUCCUGUACUACCGAUAACCGUUUGAGAGAAGGGAUGACACAGUAGGAUAAGCUAAGCACACUGUUGGUUAUGUGUGCCCAAGCAUUGAGGCAGUCAAAGCAGGCAAAUCCGCUUUGAUAAUGCUGGGAUGUGAUGGGGAGCGAAAUUUAGUAGCGAAGUAGCUGAUUUCACACUGUCAAGAAAAGUCUCUAUCGAGGUUAAAGGUACCCGUACCGCAAACCGACACAGGUGGGUGAGGAGAGUAUCCUAAGGCCAGCGAGAGAACUGUUGUUAAGGAACUCGGCAAAAUGACCCCGUAACUUAGGGAUAAGGGGUGCCACCAUCCGGUGGCCGCAGAGAAUAGGCCCAAGCGACUGUUUACCAAAAACAUAGGUUUCUGCUAAGUCGCAAGACGAUGUAUAGGAGCUGACGCCUGCCCGGUGCUGGAAGGUUAAGGGGAUCUGUUAGAGCAAUCGAAGCAGUGAACUUAAGCCCCAGUAAACGGCGGCCGUAACUAUAACGGUCCUAAGGUAGCGAAAUUCCUUGUCGGGUAAGUUCCGACCCGCACGAAAGGCGUAACGAUUUGGGCACUGUCUCAACAACAGACUCGGUGAAAUUGUAAUUCCGGUGAAGAUGCCGGAUACCUGCGACAGGACGGAAAGACCCCAUGGAGCUUUACUGUAGCUUGACAUUGGGUCUUGGUACUACAUGUACAGGAUAGGUGGGAGGCUUUGAAACCAGGACGCCAGUUUUGGCGGAGCCAUCCUUGGGAUACCACCCUUGUAGUACUGGGACUCUAACCAUAGGCCAUGAAUCUGGUCUUGGGACACUGUCAGGUGGGCAGUUUGACUGGGGCGGUCGCCUCCCAAAAGGUAACGGAGGCGCUCAAAGGUUCUCUCAGUACGGUCGGAAAUCGUACGUAGAGUGUAAAGGCAAAAGAGAGCUUGAUUGCAAGACAUACAGGUCGAGCAAGGAUGAAAAUCGGACUUAGUGAUCCGGUGGUUCUGCGUGGAAGGGCCAUCGCUCAACGGAUAAAAGCUACCCUGGGGAUAACAGGCUUAUCUCCCCCAAGAGUCCACAUCGACGGGGAGGUUUGGCACCUCGAUGUCGGCUCAUCACAUCCUGGGGCUGUAGUAGGUCCCAAGGGUUGGGCUGUUCGCCCAUUAAAGUGGUACGCGAGCUGGGUUCAGAACGUCGUGAGACAGUUCGGUCCCUAUCCGUCGCAGGCGUAGGAAAUUUGAGAAGACCUGUCCUUAGUACGAGAGGACCGGGAUGGACGUACCUCUGGUGUACCAGUUGUUCUGCCAAGGGCAUGGCUGGGUAGCUAUGUACGGAAUGGAUAAGCGCUGAAAGCAUCUAAGCGCGAAGCCAACUUCAAGAUAAGAUUUCCCACCGCAAGGGUAAGACCCCAGAAAGACUAUCUGGUUGAUAGGUCGAAGGUGUAAGUGCAGCAAUGUAUUUAGCUUAUCGAUACUAAUAGGUCGAGGACUUGACCAA
Molecule: ribosomal RNA, 2898 nt
Filed under: Clostridioides difficile
Lineage: Bacteria; Bacillati; Bacillota; Clostridia; Peptostreptococcales; Peptostreptococcaceae
Also listed under: 1 other name
Description: 23S ribosomal RNA
Rfam family: Bacterial large subunit ribosomal RNA
Source: RNAcentral